UAAAUUACAUCCUGUAUUAUACUCCAGAGCUGCACUCACUAUUCUGCUGGUGGAUUCACUGUGUACAUACAUUACAUUACUUAUCCUGUACUGAUCCUGAGUUACAUCCUGUAUUAUACUCCAGAGGUGUGAUCACAAUUCUGCUGGUGCAGUCACUGUGAACAUGC
Molecule: long non-coding RNA, 167 nt
Organism: Bufo bufo (common toad)
Lineage: Eukaryota; Metazoa; Chordata; Amphibia; Anura; Bufonidae
Exons: 4
Source: RefSeq, a predicted model, not a curated record